UACGGGGGGAGCAAGCGUUGUUCGGAUUUACUGGGCGUAAAGGGCGCGUAGGCGGCCACCGCAAGUCGAUUGUGAAAUCUCCGGGCUUAACCCGGAAAGGUCAACCGAUACUGCGGGGCUAGAGUGCAGAAGGGGCAACUGGAAUUCUCGGUGUAGCGGUGAAAUGCGUAGAUAUCAAGAGGAACACCUGCGGCGAAGGCGGGUUGCUGGGCCGACACUGACGCUGAGGCGCGAAAGCCAGGGGAGCGAACGGG
This 254-nucleotide ribosomal RNA is filed under the name uncultured bacterium. RNAcentral's name for it is "partial 16S ribosomal RNA". It matches the Rfam family "Bacterial small subunit ribosomal RNA", at positions 524 to 776 of the family's 1533-position model. The record is from RNAcentral.